Molecule: ribosomal RNA, 502 nt
Filed under: uncultured bacterium
Lineage: Bacteria
Description: partial 16S ribosomal RNA
Rfam family: Bacterial small subunit ribosomal RNA
Source: RNAcentral
AUUGAACGCUGGCGGAAUGCUUUACACAUGCAAGUCGAACGGCAGGAGGGGUGCUUGCACCUGGUGGCGAGUGGCGAACGGGUGAGUAACAUAUCGGAACGUGCCCAGUAAUGGGGGAUAACUAACCGAAAGGUUAGCUAAUACCGCAUACGCCCUGAGGGGGAAAGCGGGGGAUCGAAAGACCUCGCGUUAUUGGAGCGGCCGAUAUCUGAUUGGCUAGUUGGUAGGGUAAAGGCCUACCAAGGCGACGAUCAGUAGCUGGUCUGAGAGGAUGAUCAGCCACACUGGGACUGAGACACGGCCCAGACUCCUACGGGAGGCAGCAGUGGGGAAUUUUGGACAAUGGGCGAAAGCCUGAUCCAGCCAUUCCGCGUGAGUGAAGAAGGCCUUCGGGUUGUAAAGCUCUUUCGGCAGGAACGAAACGCUCUAGAUUAAUACUCUGGGAUAAUGACGGUACCUGAAGAAGAAGCACCGGCUAACUACGUGCCAGCCGCCGCAGUAA